UGCAUGUGUUAAAGCUAUAAGGUUACGGAGCAGAAUGGCUGAUACGUCUCAGUGCUCAGUGCUAAUAUGCACAAAAAAUGUAUUUAUGGUAAUGACACGGACUGUCUGAAACAAUGCAUUCCAACAUCCUGUAACAUAAAUAACAAAGGUGGAGCCAGCUGGCAUUAAACUGUUUAUUUGCCAGCAGUCCAGAUCUGCACUAUGUACCUUUUUUACACUGUCUCAGUCUGGCAGUAUUGAACCUGUUGCUGCAUUAGCCGAGUUGUAUUUUGCUAGAUAGGGGAAGGAGGGUUGUCUGCUGUCUGGUAGGAGGGCUUUGUCUGUGUGUGCCUUUCUCUCUCUCUCCCUCUCUCUCUCUGUCUCUGUCUCUCAUACUCCCGCUUGCUCUCCCUCUGGCUCUCUCUCUCUCUCCCUCGCUCUCUCUCCCUUUCCCGUCUCUGUGGUUUGUAAGGUAGGUUGCAGUGUGUGUAUAUACACAACAUCAAGAGCAGGAAAAUGGACUCAUUAGGGAGGCAGGCAGUCAUUACCACUCACACUGUACUUCCAGGGAGACAGCGACUAUGAGGAGACAAACUGAGGACUGGGGAACAAGGGUUUACCGCUCCAACCCUGCAGCACAGAGAAACUGACGGUCGACCAAAGUGAAACUGACUUCAUUGAUUUGACCGUCUGGCCCAAGAAAACCCAAAGUAAACAAACAGCAUCCACAGUGAAAAAUGCAUCCAAUUUUUUAAUAUUCUCUUACCUGGACUAUUCCAAAAUUUUAUUUGUACAAAGUAUUGUUUUGAAUUUUUUUAAAGGUGGUCAAAUCUC
Long non-coding RNA from Alligator mississippiensis (American alligator), 813 nucleotides. RefSeq lists it as uncharacterized. The transcript has 2 exons. Lineage: Eukaryota; Metazoa; Chordata; Crocodylia; Alligatoridae. The record is from RefSeq and is a predicted model, not a curated record.